Oncorhynchus mykiss (rainbow trout) is the source of this 5635-nucleotide non-coding RNA. Lineage: Eukaryota; Metazoa; Chordata; Actinopteri; Salmoniformes; Salmonidae. The record is from RefSeq and is a predicted model, not a curated record.
UGCGUUUUCAGUCUGUCGAUGUGAGAUGGGUUGCAACCAACGACCGGUGUCGGUCUAUGCUGCUGCACAUGCGCUGAACGGGCGCCACGGAAAACACAUUGAGGGAUUACUAAAGACAUGGCGGCCAACAUCGAGCAAAUUUUUCGCGAUUUCGUAGUAAAUAAAAUAAAAGAAAUUGAAGAUGAGAGUCAAGAUAUCAUUCUGACAGAUGAAGGCCAUCCCAAUGGUAAAACUGCAGAAGGAGCAGAUGGGAUCAACAACACACAAGAUAAAGAUGGUGUAGCCAAUAAGGAAGAGGGUGCUGUCCCACAAAAUAAACAUAAGAAGCACAAGAAGCACAAGAAACACAAAAGCAAAAAGAAGAAACGUAAGGAAGAGAAAGAGAGCGGCUCAGAAUCAGCAGCAGACUCUGAUGGAGACAAGGCAAAGACUGGGGAAGAGGAUGACGGGAGAUCCAAGCGGCAUAAACGACAUUCUGGGAAGAAGAAGAAAAAAAAGCAGAAGAAAGAUGGUGACAAGUCCAACAGCUCAUCUGGGUCGGAGUCCGAGUCGAAGCCUCAGCCUGGGAACAAGGAGAGCAAACCUCAGGAUCUGCCUGAUAUCAUCCCUAAACUAGAGGAGAAGUGUCCGGAAAAGUCCUCCUCCAGAUGCUCACGGUCUCGUUCAGGCAAGCGCAGGUCCAGAUCCAGGGACAGGAGAGGGAGAUCCAGAUCGAGGUCCGGUAGAAGACGUGGCGGACACACACGUUCCAGAUCACGGCACCGGAGGUCCGGGUCACAUUCUAGAAGGUCUGGGUCUGCCAGGAGAGGCAGGAGAACCCGGUCAAGGUCCCUCGUGAUCUUGAAGAAAGACAGACGGUCUAGAUCGAGAUCCAGAAGGCGAUCGAAAUCUAAGACGAGAUCUCAGUCGAGACACCGAGAGAUGAGUUCAGGAUCUCCCUCUCCUUCCAGAAACGACAAAUCCAAAUCCAGGUCUGCCUCAAGAGACAGCCAAUCGGCCGAGAAGGAUCCCUCUGCUGACCUGGCUGAAGAUGAGUCUGCUGUGAAAGACGAAAACUUAAUGGUUCCUAUCGAUCCGCCAGCCCUAGCUUCCGGAAGCAGCAUUGAGGGUGUCGUCAAUAUGGCCACCCCCACUGGAGGAGGGUGGAAGCCAAUACCCUUCUUAGGCGACAGCAGUAAGGGAGAGCCAGCCGUUUCCUCCCAGCCCUCUGAAUGUCUGACGUCUCCACAGAAGUGCCCUAUUCCUCCUGAGGUGCCUUCAGGUGAGCAGCAUGAGGCCUCCACUGACCACCAGUCAACGUCAGCCUCUGAUCCUAACCACAGCUGCCAGCCAACUGGUGAGCCAGGGGAAUCGGAUGGACCUGUUACUUCAGAAACCUUGGAUGGCUCUGUAGAUUCCUUACCCCCCAAAACAGAUGCUAGUGGAGGAGACAAGGUGACACCUCAGGGUGAAGAGCUGCCUGCCUCACCUCAACCUAAACCACAGCCAACAUCUGGAGAGGCAGAGACGACAGAGAAGGAAGGAGAAUCUUCAAAGUCCAGGUCUCCUUCAAAGAGGAAAAAGUCGAGGUCAAAGUCUCCUGAUCAGAAGAAACGCUCUGAUGCAAAGUCCUCCAAGAAGAGGAGGUCCAGAUCCAAGUCUCCGGGGAGGAAAAGGAAAUCGAGGUCCUCGUCGCCAAGCCGCAAGAGGAAGUCCAGGACGCCGUCUCGGAGGAAGAAGUCUCGCUCAAAGUCCGGGACGAGAAAGAAGAAAUCACGGUCCAAGUCCAGAACGCGGAACAAGCGCUCGAAGUCUAGGUCACCGAAAAGGAAACGAUCCAAGUCACGGUCUCCUGCUCGGAGGUCAAAGAGGUCAAGGUCACGCUCCGGUUCGCGGCGGAGGGGUAGGGGUGCAUUCGGCAGCCACCAGCUUAGCCAGAGGGACCGUUGGAAGCGUGAGCCAAGCCACUCCCCAGUCCUUAUCCUCCGCAAGAAGAGGUCUCCGGCACGCAACAACCGCGACACCAGCAAAAGCCCGCCACGACUCACAGAGCUGGAUAAAGACCAGUUACUGGAGAUUGCUAAGGCUAAUGCAGCCGCCAUGUGUGCCAAGGCCGGGAUACCCAUCCCAGAGAGCCUGCGACCCAAAGCUGUCCUCCAGCUGCCUUUACCCAGCCCCAACAACCCCAUGUCCUUCUCCAUGCCCAUGAAUAUGAACAUGCCCAUGAACAUGUCUAUGAACAUGCCUAUGAGCAUGACCAUGAAUGCAGCUAUGGCUAGCAUGACAGCUGCCACAAUGACUGCUGCCCUGGCCAGUAUGGGAUCUAUGGCCUCCAUGCACCAGAUGGCCCCGCUCCCCAGCAUCACCAACAAGCCCCCGCCAGGUCCCCCCCAGCCCAACAUGGCCACCAUCGAGGAUGUGAAGAGGAAGGUGGCCAAGCAGGCAAACAGCAUCAGCAUCAAGGAGUUCACUGACAAGUGUAAGAAGAUUGUGGAGAAGGGAGGGGAGCUGGCCCUCGCUGAACCCCGUAUAUCUGACGACGAGGACGACGGCAAACCGUUUGGACGAGCCGCCCUGAGGGAGGUCAAGGGCAUCUCCUUCAGCCUCAAUAACGCAUCCGUGCGUCCAUCUCCGGCGUUGGCGGUUCGGAGCGAGGCGGCGUUCGCCAAGGAGUUCCCCGUGUCGUCGGGCUCCCAGCACAGGAAGAAGGAGGGCGACGGGGGAGGGGCUUACGGAGAGUGGGUGACCGUCGACAAGAAGGCGGAAAAGGCCAAGGUGGCGGCGACCAAGGCAUUGGCAACGGCUGCCAAGGAAACUUCGCCUGGGGAUGCGCCUUUGUCUACGGUGUCCGUGGCAACGGAGGAGCCAGCGGUCGUCAAGGAGAGUGAUAGUGUGUUCCCGGAGCCGCCGCUACAGCCUGUAGACAUCACCCAGGCAGUUGGUGAGAGGAUGAAGGCCCAGAAGCGUCUGGCCGAGAACCCGUACGACGUCAGCGCCAUCUGCAUGCUCAGCCGUGCUCAGGAACAGGUGGAUGCAUGGGCCCAGUCCAACACCAUCCCUGGUCUGUUUACAGGUUCUACUGGAGCAACGGUGCUCAGCUCAGAGGAGCUGUCCAACAGCGGACCACAGGCCUGGAUUAAAAAGGUACCGUCCACUGUCUUACCCGCUCUCCACCCCAAACAUACCACCCCACUACCCUACAGGUGUCUGCAUCGCCCAUGCCCACUGGUGUACCCACUUCACACGCCUUCCACAGCCUGCUCCCUAAUCACCACCCAGCCCUAGUCAAAUAACUGAAUGGCUGUACGCAUAGAGCCAGACAUAUACUGUAUUUAGUUUGACAAGUGUUCUGUUGAUGAAGAACACACUGGGUUAGAAUGGAGUAGUUCCACUGUUACUCAGUGAAAUCCAGGUCAGAUGUAACGUCCCCGAAACGUGGGGUCCACUGCUACCAUGGCAACCCUUGUUAGCUCUAACGCACAUAGUUUACUGAUGUGUGUGUGAGUGAGCAUCUGUUGUCUGUAUUGUGUGUUUCUGUCUGCGUCAGAAAAAGAUGCUCUGGCUGUAAAGGAAGCCUCUUGUUUAUGUUGCCUCAGCCUGAUAUUUGCACUGCAGUCUGUAACAGUGGUAACAUGAUGAACCCAGACUUGAAUCUUUAAUCUGACAUACAGAGAUGAACAAACAUCUCCCUGCACUUCAAUCACCCCCCACCCCUCCCCCGCAACACACACACACACAUUCUGACUAAUUACAUUUCCUGUGAAGUGGGUACACCAUGUUAAGGGUAGUGAUGCAGAUUCCUUACAUGUGACAUUCUUACCAAAGCAGGUGCAAAUGCAGUACUGACACCCGGCUACUAGUGGUGCUCUGGUCUGACACCCGUCUACUAGUGGUGCUCUGGUCUGUGCACUAAAUAGAGUCCCCCUCGGAGUCGGAAUAGGGACUUGGAGAAUGAAAGAGGGAGGGAGGGGAGGAAGAGGAGAGCUGGAAGUAAGUCUGCAGACCCCAGAACCCCCGCUUGUCCUCUAGCACCCCAGGGCAAGGCAGAGAUUAUGGGUCCGUCUCAGUAGUCUAAAGAUGCUUCCUCGUCUCUUUCCUUGGAUUCACACUGAUCUCAGAACAGGGGAAAGGGAAAAGCACUUCUUUUACUUAUCCUGCCUUUUCAGAUCAGGUCAGAUAUGGUUGGGGACGUUAGGUGAGGAAGUGACUUUAGACUAUUCAGAUGCACCCUAAGACAGUUUACUUUAGUCUCUACCGUCACGCUGUCUCCCUAAAGCGGUGUCUCCCUAUCACUCCCCCACACCCAGUCACACAGAAUGUCAUCAGGCCCAGAGAUAACCAUAGUCCUCUGUCUGUGGACCCCGUCUGAACCCUCCUACCCUGUAGUGUUUCUAUAGUGGGCUGUUUGAAGCCAGUGGGUGUAACUGUACCCUAAACCUUCCUGAGCUCUGUAAACACACAGAGACGGGGCUACUGUUUUAAACGACACAUCCUGAGGAAUCUCUCUUUCUCUGGUUAAGUAACACAUUGUCACAUUUAGCUAUAGAGAGAGUGAUGGAUCAGCUGAGUUCAUUCUUCAUUUAAUACGACACGUCCUUCAGAUGCUAUGGGCAGAUGUCAUGGACAUGUUCAGAGACGUGAUAUAGGGAUGAGAGUGCAUUGAUCAUACUAAUGUUAGUGAUGCAUUUUGCUAGCAUUACAGCAGCUAACAUUGAUUUACAGCAGCUAACAUUGAUUUACAGCACGCUAGCAUUGCAGCAGCUAACAUUGAUUUACAGCACGCUAGCAUUGCAGCAGCUAACAUUGAUUUACAGCAGCUAACAUUGAUUUACAGCACGCUAGCAUUGCAGCAGCUAACAUUGAUUUACAGCACGCUAGCAUUGCAGCAGCUAACAUUGAUUUACAGCAGCUAACAUUGAUUUACAGCACGCUAGCAUUGCAGCAGCUAACAUUGAUUUACAGCACGCUAGCAUUACCAGCAUAUGGACUGUGUUGUUUGUGUGGUUGUUGGGUGCCCCCAGCAACCAGUCAUUCCGUGCAUUCCGUUUCCCAGUAGAUGAGCGGGGUCUAGUUUUAGACCAGUCAGUGGUCUCCAACCCUAGUCUAGGCUGUGCAGGAUUUUGUUCCAUCCCAGCAUAGUUGUAUAGGUUAGGGCUGUAACAAAAACAUGCACAUUAGCUUCAGGACCACUGCCUGAGGGAGAACUCUGUUCUGAGGGACCUAGGCUAGUUACAGGUGUCCAUGGACAUGCCUGUGCUCUUUCCCUUGCCCUGGGGGAGGCUGCAGUCAGAAGUUGCUCCUAGUCACAGAUCUAGGAUCAGCUUCCCUUUCGCAAAUCCUAACUCCAAGCUGACCACGUGUCUAGGGGCAACUUCCUCCCAGUCCUUGGGGCAGCCCGAGGAAGGGGGUCGAUAAGAGGGGUCUGGAUUGGAGCAGAGGGAGAGAGGUGUGGGUUCACAGGGGUGACCUGUGAACUUUCACCUCUGUGUAUUGGACACUUGUUUCAGGGUCAGUCCUUGUAGCUGUCCUUGUUGCCAUGGCCACAGUCAGGCCCCCCUCAUUUCCUGUCUGAUGCUGGGCCGGUGAUGAGGGGCUAGGACCAGUUCUUGCGAGCAGCCCCGGUGUCGGGAGGAGUAGGGGAGUUUCUCAUGAGGAA